RNAcentral lists this ribosomal RNA (508 nucleotides) under Bos taurus (domestic cattle). RNAcentral's name for it is "similar to 16S ribosomal RNA". It matches the Rfam family "Bacterial large subunit ribosomal RNA", at positions 781 to 1472 of the family's 2925-position model. The record is from RNAcentral. Lineage: Eukaryota; Metazoa; Chordata; Mammalia; Artiodactyla; Bovidae.
CAUCUAUGUGGCAAAAUAGUGAGAAGAUUUGUAAGUAGAGGUGACAUGCCUAACGAGCCUGGUGAUAGCUGGUUGUCCAGAAAAUGAAUCUAAGUUCAGCUUUAAAGAUACCAAAAAUUCAAAUAAACCCCACUGUAGCUUUAAAAGUUAGUCUAAAAAGGUACAGCCUUUUAGAAACGGAUACAACCUUGACUAGAGAGUAAAAUUUAACACUACCAUAGUAGGCCUAAAAGCAGCCAUCAAUUAAGAAAGCGUUAAAGCUCAACAACAAAAAUUAAAUAGAUUCCAACAACAAAUGAUUAACUCCUAGCCCCAAUACUGGACUAAUCUAUUAUAGAAUAGAAGCAAUAAUGUUAAUAUGAGUAACAAGAAAAAUUUUCUCCUUGCAUAAGUCUAAGUCAGUGCCUGAUAAUACUCUGACCACUAACAGUCAAUAAAAAUAAUCCAACAAUAAACAAUUUAUUGAUUAUACUGUUAACCCAACACAUGGAGUGCAUCUAAGGAAAGA